UUCGAAUCUAGCCACCCACCAAUUUAUAUGGCUGGACUCCUUUGAUUGGACUGGUGCAGACCACCUAUGACUAAGCGGGCACAACCCACAUUUUCCUUCCAGUCCCAGACAAGGCCACCAGCCAGGAUUUGCACCUCAAGAGAUAGCCUUUCCAAAUUCAGAGUCGCAAUAAAAUCAGUUCGAAUCAAGUAGAAUCUGCCCCAUUUCAAGUCUCGGGUUCUUUCUCCAGGUUUACACUGGUGGAAAAAAAAAAUGUUUUUACUGCAUUUAUAGUAUUACAUACACGAAGGAAAAGCAAUACUCCGAGACGUAUUUCUAUCUUAAGCAUUUAGUAACACAACUUGUAGUACAAUGCAUCAAAUUGAAAUACAAGGGAAUCAAGCACAAAAGACUGAACAAAGAACAAACUAACGGCAUGCUUGGUACACUAUAUUGGACGGACAGAAAAGGACAAUAGAGAUUUCAUCCUUUUUCCCAUUUUUCCAAUUCUAUCCAAUGAAAACUAACAAGCAUGCCUUAAAAGUUUCAGCAUGGCUCCUUGGAAGAACUCCUUGAUGAUAGAUCGUAUCUACCAGUAUGCUGAAUUAUACAAACAGAUAUAAAGCUACUUCGAUGAUGAGGGCGCAGAAUUUGGGUGAACCUUCUUGAACACAAUGGGUAAGCAACCAGCAAAAGUAGAUUUUUUCCCUUCAACAGCUUUUUUCUUACUUCUCUUGUUCGAAUCGCUUAUUUUCCCUUCAGAAGCUGCUUUUUCUUUGGUUCUCUUGUUUUCUAGUUCUCUCGUCAUCUUCUCCUUAUGAAGCUUUCUCAUCAAAUAAACUUCAGCAAUAUCCACACUAAGAGUCAUGGCUUAAUCAAAGGUCACCAAAAAUAAGCAGAAGCAAAAAAAUAAAACGUGGAAUUGUAGAAGCUGGUGGAUUUAGAUCGUAAUAAGAAUUGACUAUAUGAUAAUUUAGUAGUGUAAGGGAGUAUAUAUGGUGAUCGCGAACUUGGGCUGCACGCAAAUCUUGAACACUAGUGUGAAUAUUCUGGGAAAAGUAAAAUGAUUAAGAAAUUUUGUCGUCG
Molecule: long non-coding RNA, 1065 nt
Filed under: Olea europaea subsp. europaea
Lineage: Eukaryota; Viridiplantae; Streptophyta; Magnoliopsida; Lamiales; Oleaceae
Source: RNAcentral